GACCGGUCGCCGUUUGUGAGAAAUCUGGCGGCUCUUUACGUUCGGGAGCCGGCCCGUCAUUUAGUGGCCGCGUUUGCUCGCGUGUCUUUGACGAGUUUGGCGCACGAGACGCAUCCAAAUUGUCGACCACGCAGGCUCAUUCUUGAAUGAACCACUGGUGUCGAGGGCCGUCGUACGUAUGCUUUCAUUUUCUUAUUGAUGAUUGUCUGAAAUGUUUAAUGAAUGCAUCCAAGUGAUAGCUAGCACAAUUAGUAUUGUCUGAUAUAUUUUCUGUUAGCUGUGAGCGAUGUUGAAUUCAGCGGAAAUGGCAACAAACCAACGUAGCGCCACUUUCGUCGCGCUUUCAAUUUUGUACUUUGAUUUACUGUACUACUGGGUGCAGGUUCUUUAGUUUUGCUGUUUACCGUCAUUAGUUUAUCAUUGUCAAAGUAGACAACGUUUAUACAUAUGUUUGGGGUGGUUCUAGGGCCGUCCAGCUGAGUGUGAGCCAGCUGAGCCGCGGACCUACGAGUGCGGACUGAGAUUGAGCCAGCCGCUGCCACUGUUUUUGUUCCACCGUCGUGCCCAAACAUAUCUGAAAACCGUCCGUCUGUUUGUCUCUCCGACCGACUGUCUGUUGGUACAUCACUGCCUGCUUGCUGCUCCUUGAAUACCAUUUGUUUCAUGAC
Molecule: long non-coding RNA, 668 nt
Organism: Amphibalanus amphitrite
Lineage: Eukaryota; Metazoa; Arthropoda; Thecostraca; Balanomorpha; Balanidae
Exons: 2
Source: RefSeq, a predicted model, not a curated record